Molecule: long non-coding RNA, 477 nt
Organism: Stegodyphus dumicola
Lineage: Eukaryota; Metazoa; Arthropoda; Arachnida; Araneae; Eresidae
Source: RefSeq, a predicted model, not a curated record
UUACUUUUUAAAGGAAAUAAAGGAGACUAUGCUGAACCAUAUGCUUGCAUUGAACCCGUCUCAACAAGGCAGGCAUCAUCAGACGGUCUCUUUGCAACCAUAAAACGUUGUCCAACCAGACCAAUAUAUAUGUCAGCAUCAUAUAAACAAGGUGUUAACACAAAUCAGAAUCCCAGCUUCAGUUGCCGGUCCGAUGGAGGAAAUCCCAACGUCAAAAUUCCCGUUCAAGAUAGCACCGGACAUUCGGACACUGCUGGGGAAAAGUGGAGCAGCAACAAUCAAUCUAACAUCAACCACAAAUCGAUACGAUGACAAUUUUCAUUGAUGUGUUUCAUCUGUUCAUCUUAAAUAAUUUAAUCGUCAUCGGAUUUUUACAUUCGUCGGGAAUGUGCGAAAAGCCCUGCCAAAACCGAAUUUUUACUCUAGUCAAUCAAAAUAUGUAAAUUGUUAUUAUAAAUAAAUGUGUUUUAAAAAUGA